UGCAGUCGAACGAUGAAGCCGGGGCUUUUUUGUUUUGGUGGAUUAGUGGCGAACGGGUGAGUAAUACGUGAGUAACCUGCCCUUGUCUUUGGGAUAAGCCUGGGAAACUGGGUCUAAUACCGGAUAUUCUGCUUUUGCCGCAUGGUGGGGGUUGGAAAGAUUUUUUGGAUGGGGAUGGGCUCACGGCCUAUCAGCUUGUUGGUGGGGUGAUGGCCUACCAAGGCGUCGACGGGUAGCCGGCCUGAGAGGGUGACCGGCCACAUUGGGACUGAGAUACGGCCCAGACUCCUACGGGAGGCAGCAGUGGGGAAUAUUGCACAAUGGACGCAAGUCUGAUGCAGCGACGCCGCGUGGGGGAUGAAGGCUUUCGGGUUGUAAACUCCUUUCAGUACAGAAGAAGCAUUUUUUGUGACGGUAUGUGCAGAAGAAGCGCCGGCUAACUACGUGCCAGCAGCCGCGGUAAUACGUAGGGCGCGAGCGUUGUCCGGAAUUAUUGGGCGUAAAGAGCUCGUAGGCGGUUUGUUGCGCCUGCUGUGAAAGACCGGGGCUUAACUUCGGGGUUGCAGUGGGUACGGGCAGACUAGAGUGUGGUAGGGGUAAUUGGAAUUCCUGGUGUAGCGGUGGAAUGCGCAGAUAUCAGGAGGAACACCGAUGGCGAAGGCAGGUUACUGGGCCAUUACUGACGCUGAGGAGCGAAAGCGUGGGUAGCGAACAGGAUUAGAUACCCCUGGUAGUCCACGCUGUAAACGUUGGGCACUAGGUGUGGGGCCUUUUCCACGGGUUCUGCGCCGUAGCUAACGCUUUAAGUGCCCCGCCUGGGGAGUACGGCCGCAAGGGUUAAAACUCAAAGGAAUUGACGGGGGCCCGCACAAGCGGCGGAGCAUGCGGAUUAAUUCGAUGCAACGCGAAGAACCCUUACCAAG
Molecule: ribosomal RNA, 923 nt
Filed under: Trueperella pyogenes
Lineage: Bacteria; Bacillati; Actinomycetota; Actinomycetes; Actinomycetales; Actinomycetaceae
Description: bacterial SSU rRNA
Rfam family: Bacterial small subunit ribosomal RNA
Source: RNAcentral